AACGAACGCUGGCGGCAGGCCUAACACAUGCAAGUCGAGCGCCCCGCAAGGGGAGCGGCGGACGGGUGAGUAACGCGUGGGAACGUACCCUUUGCUACGGAAUAGCCUCGGGAAACUGGGAGUAAUACCGUAUGUGCCCUUGGGGGAAAGAUUUAUCGGCAAAGGAUCGGCCCGCGUUGGAUUAGGUAGUUGGUGGGGUAAUGGCCUACCAAGCCGACGAUCCAUAGCUGGUUUGAGAGGAUGAUCAGCCACACUGGGACUGAGACACGGCCCAGACUCCUACGGGAGGCAGCAGUGGGGAAUCUUAGACAAUGGGCGCAAGCCUGAUCUAGCCAUGCCGCGUGAGCGAUGAAGGCCUUAGGGUUGUAAAGCUCUUUCAGUGGGGAAGAUAAUGACUGUACCCACAGAAGAAGCCCGGCUAACUCCGUG
RNAcentral lists this ribosomal RNA (429 nucleotides) under uncultured bacterium. RNAcentral's name for it is "bacterial SSU rRNA". It matches the Rfam family "Bacterial small subunit ribosomal RNA", at positions 29 to 507 of the family's 1533-position model. The record is from RNAcentral.